GGAAAAUAGCUGGAUUGAAUGAAAUUUCUAUUUUUAGUUUUUUGAAGAAUCUCCAUACUUCCAACUGGUAUUUUAAGUAACAAAAAAUAGCAAACCGUUCCAAGCAUUAUGGUUGUUGUGGGGAGUUAAAUAAAACAUCGUCCGAGAAGAAAAUAAAGAUGCGUUUAUAGAGAAAAACUUGGACACUGGUUUCCAUUUAUGGAAACUACAGAGAUUUAAGAGAAAGCUGUACAGGGAAGACCCUUCUCAGAGUGACACAGGUACAAACUAUGGAAGUAUCGAUGCCCUUCUAAGACACUAAAGAACCACCAUGUGGAUGGGACCUUGUGGAAUUUAGUCUUCCUAUCUACAAAGGUUAGACUUGGCACCGAUGAUAGGAUAAGGCGGCUGGACUUGAGGAGAGGUGGGGGACAGGAUCAUCUUGAUGAUGCUAAUUUGCUGCCUGAGACUCUUCUGUGAGAAAAAUUUUACACCUAAGCUCAGGCUUACUGGAAGGACUGAUUAGUCGCAUCUGCCACGAAGGAGACACAUGUGCUGCUGCAUUUCUGAUUGCCGUUAGCCAGACCAUCAUUAAGAUUCCGCCCAGGGUCAACCCAUUUUCUGGUCCCCCUUCUGUCUCUCUUAGAAG
RNAcentral lists this long non-coding RNA (628 nucleotides) under Heterocephalus glaber (naked mole-rat). RNAcentral's name for it is "lncRNA (ENSHGLG00000040500.1)". The record is from RNAcentral. Lineage: Eukaryota; Metazoa; Chordata; Mammalia; Rodentia; Bathyergidae.